UAAGUCGGGGCCUAAGGCGAGGUCGGAAGACGUAGCCGAUGGACAACAGGUUGAGAUUCCUGUACUGCAGUAUGACAGAACUGUGGGGACACGUGUGGAGAGCAUAGCCGCGGAAUGGAAAGCCGCGGGCAAGCGGGGUAGGAGAUAUGCAGGAAAAACCGCAUAUCAAUCUGAAGACGUGAUGCGGAGCGAACUGAAGUAGCGAAGUAUGUGAGCCAUGCGUCGAGAAAAGCCGCUAUUGUUCAUGCUGUACCCGUACCGUAAACCGACACAGGUGGAUGAGGAGAGAAUCCUAAGGCCGGCGGAAGAAGCAUUGUCAAGGAACUCGGCAAAAUGACCCCGUAACUUCGGGAGAAGGGGUGCCAGGGAGACCUGGCCGCAGAGAAUAGGCUCAAGCAACUGUUUAGCAAAAACACAGGUCUAUGCAAAACCGAAAGGUGAGGUAUAUGGGCUGACGCCUGCCCGGUGCUGGAAGGUUAAGAGGAGAGGUUAGCGCAAGCGAAGCUUUGAAUUUAAGCCCCAGUAAACGGCGGCCGUAACUAUAACGGUCCUAAGGUAGCGAAAUUCCUUGUCGGGUAAGUUCCGACCCGCACGAAAGGCGUAAUGAUUUGAGCGCUGUCUCGACAAUGCAUCCGGUGAAAUUGAAGUGCCAGUGAAGAUGCUGGCUACCCGCGCCAGGACGGAAAGACCCCAUGGAGCUUUACUCCAGUUUGGUACUGGGAUUCGGUAUUGCAUGUACAGGAUAGGUGGGAGGCUGUGAAGUGGUGACGCCAGUCGCCAUGGAGCCAUUGUUGGGAUACCACCCUUGCGGUAUUGGAUUUCUAACCUGCAGCCGUGAACCGGCUGGGGGACAAUGCCAGGCGGGGAGUUUGACUGGGGCGGUCGCCUCCGAAAGGGUAUCGGAGGCGCCCAAAGGUUCCCUCAGAAUGGUCGGAAACCAUUCGAAGAGUGCAAAGGCAGAAGGGAGCUUGACUGCGACACCGACGGGUGGAGCAGGUACGAAAGUAGGGCUUAGUGAUCCGGUGGUAUUAAGUGGGAAUGCCAUCGCUCAACGGAUAAAAGCUACCCUGGGGAUAACAGGCUUAUCACUCCCAAGAGUUCACAUCGACGGAGUGGUUUGGCACCUCGAUGUCGGCUCAUCGCAUCCUGGGGCUGUAGUAGGUCCCAAGGGUUGGGCUGUUCGCCCAUUAAAGCGGUACGCGAGCUGGGUUCAGAACGUCGUGAGACAGUUCGGUCCCUAUCCGGCGUGGGCGUAGGACAUUUGAGAGGAGCUGUCCUUAGUACGAGAGGACCGGGAUGGACGGACCGCUGGUGUACCUGUUGU
RNAcentral lists this ribosomal RNA (1324 nucleotides) under Blautia sp. An81. Its description in RNAcentral is "bacterial LSU rRNA". It matches the Rfam family "Bacterial large subunit ribosomal RNA", at positions 1380 to 2724 of the family's 2925-position model. Lineage: Bacteria; Bacillati; Bacillota; Clostridia; Lachnospirales; Lachnospiraceae. The record is from RNAcentral.